GGGAGGGACGCAUCCGGUGCAUUCUCGAGAUCCAGUUGCCGGCACCUGGAAUCUGCUUGCGCGAGGCAGUGGCGGCACCGACGGCCCGAGGUUCCCGGUCACCAGGUUGCGGAGGAUCGUGCGGGUAGCAAAAGGAAGGCGAGUGCUCCUGCGGCCCCAGACAGCAACCAGAACAUGCAUCAUUGUUAGAACCAUCACCCUGCAGCUAGCUUGGACACCAUUAAAAGGGCUCAUCAGCUGCAAACGGAUAGAAGUAUCUGAUAUCGUGAAGACAGUUUCAGGGCUUCUCCUUGGAGCUACAUUCUCCAGAAGCCUCUGCUUGGCCUCCCUGCACCCAGCCCCACCCCAUCCAGUCACAACUUGGGUCGUGUGUGGUAUUUCUUGGCAACUGGAACACAGACUUCUCCAGCAGCUCCACGGGCCCCUUGUCCUCAGUGAGCAGAAGACUACAGAAGCUGGCUACUGAAGAGGCUGUCCAAGUCUUAGAGCUCCUCAUUGGCCCCGCUUAGCGCAGUGCUAUAACUGAGUGCUGGAUGUUAGUCAUUCAUGCUCACCACCUUUAGGGACUGCAAAGGGAUUUGUCAGACCCCAUUUCACUAAGGGCCACCCUCUAAGGAUCUCAACAGGAGGCUGCCCAUAGAGAGAAGUGGCCUGCCUAGGGUCUCCACUGCCUUAGGUCCUGUGUGGACACUCCAGGUCUAAGGGGAUUAGUAUUUUUUCACCUACCUGUCAUCCACUUAUCAACUGGGAAAUUGUCUCCUGUUAUUUUUUGUUCUUGUGUUUGUUUUUUAGUAGAAAAAGUUGUAUCUAUUGCUUCAUUUAAUACAGGACUAGUCAGGAUUUCUUUUUUGUCUUGAAUCAAUUCUGCUAAGUUAUAGUUUUCUGGGAAUUGGUCCAUUUUGUCUGCCUUCUCAAGUUUACUGGCAUAAAGUUUCCUUAUUUUUUUAUUUUCUGCUGUAUACAAUCUGUAGUUAUGUCUCCUUUUUCAUUGCUAAUAUUGGUAAUUUGUGCCUUCUCACUUUUUUUCUUGAUCAAUCUCACCAGAGGUUUGUCUAUUUUAUUAGUCUUUUCAAAGAACCAGCUUUUGGCUUUGUUGCUUCUCUCUAUUUUGUCUUUGUUUUCUAUUUCUUUAAUUUCUGCUCUUAUCUUUUUUGAUCUCCUUCCUUCCACAUUUUUUGGAUUUAUUUUGUUGUUAUUUUUCUAAUUUCUUAAAUUUGACACUGAGCUCAUUAAUUUUCAGCCUUUCUUGUUUUCUUAUUUGCACAUUUAAGGACAUAACUUUCCUUCUAACUACUGCUUUUCUACAGGUUCAAACAUGUCAUAUUUUGUUACUGUUUGGUUCCAAGUACUUCAGCAUUUCCAUCAUGGUUACUUCUUUGACUUGCGAGUUAUAUAGAAGUGUGUUUCUAAAUAUUUGGAGAUUUUAAAAUUUAUCUCUGUGUUACUGAAGUCUGUCUUAAUUGCAUUAUAGUCAGAGGAUGUGAUCUGUGUGAUUAAAAACUGAUAUUUAUUGAGACUUGUUUUAUGGCUUAUUAGUGAUCAAUAUUUUUGAAUGUCUCCUAUGUGCUUUAUAAGACUGUAUGUUCUCUAAUUGUUGAAUACAGAGUUCUAUAUAAGUCUGUUAUCAAAUUUGUUCAUUGUAUUGUUCACAUUUUCUAUAUAUAAACUGAAUUUUGGAUAAUAAUAUACCAAUAAUUGUAAGGUAUAUUAAUAUGCAGUUAUGAUGGUGAUUUGUUUA
This 1738-nucleotide long non-coding RNA is filed under the name Bos taurus (domestic cattle). Its description in RNAcentral is "KANTR integral membrane protein, transcript variant 1 (KANTR)". The record is from RNAcentral. Lineage: Eukaryota; Metazoa; Chordata; Mammalia; Artiodactyla; Bovidae.